CUUUGGUUCUAUUUUGUUGGUUUCUAGGACUAAAGUAAUGAUUAAUAGGGACAAUUGGGGGCAUUCGUAUCAACACGCUAGAGGUGAAAUUCUUGGAUUGUGUUGCGACGAACUACUGCGAAAGCAUUUGCCAAGGAUGUUUUCAUUGAUCAAGAACGAAAGUAAGGGGAUCGAAGAUGAUUAGAUACCGUCGUAGUCUUUACCACAAACUAUGCCAACUAGAGAUGGGGCAUCGUUCAAUACGACUUGCUCCGCACCUUAUGAGAUAUCAAAGUCUUUGGGUUCCGGGGGGAGUAUGGUCGCAAGUCUGGAACUUAAAGGAAUUAACGGAAGGGCACCACCAGGAGUGGAGCCUGCGGCUUAAUUUGACUCAACACGGGGAAACUCACCAGGUCCAGACAUAAUAAGGAUUGACAGAUUGAUAGCUCUUUCUUGAUUUUAUGGGUGGUGGUGCAUGGCCGUUCUUAGUUCGUGGAGUGAUUUGUCUGCUUAAUUGCGUUAACGAACGAGACCUUAACCUGCUAAAUAGGAGCGUCUAUCUUCGGAUAAACGCCUUUCUUCUUAGAGGGACUUUGUGCGUUUCAGCAUGAGGAAGUUUGAGGCUAAAACAGGUCUGUGAUGCCCUUAGAUGUUCUGGGCUGCACGCGCGCUACACUGAUGCGUUCAACGAGUGUACAACCUUGCCCGAUAGGGUUGGGUAACCUUCUGAACACGCAUCGUGAUGGGGAUAGAUCAUUGCAAUUA
Molecule: ribosomal RNA, 744 nt
Filed under: uncultured Syndiniales
Lineage: Eukaryota; Dinophyceae; Syndiniales
Description: SSU rRNA
Rfam family: Eukaryotic small subunit ribosomal RNA
Source: RNAcentral